CCAGACUCCUACGGGAGGCAGCAGUAGGGAAUCUUCCGCAAUGGACGAAAGUCUGACGGAGCAACGCCGCGUGAGUGAUGAAGGCUUUCGGGUCGUAAAACUCUGUUGUUAGGGAAGAACAAGUGCUAGUUGAAUAAGCUGGCACCUUGACGGUACCUAACCAGAAAGCCACGGCUAACUACGUGCCAGCAGCCGCGGUAAUACGUAGGUGGCAAGCGUUAUCCGGAAUUAUUGGGCGUAAAGCGCGCGCAGGUGGUUUCUUAAGUCUGAUGUGAAAGCCCACGGCCCAACCGUGGAGGGUCAUUGGAAACUGGGAGACUUGAGUGCAGAAGAGGAAAGUGGAAUUCCAUGUGUAGCGGUGAAAUGCGUAGAGAUAUGGAGGAACACCAG
This 390-nucleotide ribosomal RNA is filed under the name Vibrio cholerae. RNAcentral describes it as "bacterial SSU rRNA". It matches the Rfam family "Bacterial small subunit ribosomal RNA", at positions 331 to 712 of the family's 1533-position model. Lineage: Bacteria; Pseudomonadati; Pseudomonadota; Gammaproteobacteria; Vibrionales; Vibrionaceae. The record is from RNAcentral.